AAUAAAUAAACCGUGGGUUUCCGUACCAAUGUUUGACUGUCCAUUUUAUAUGAAAUUUUUUUAUAAUUAGUAUUUUCAUUGUUGUUAGAUGAUAAAACAUAAUUAAUACUUUAUGCAUGACUUAUCUUUUUAAUUUUUUCAUAAUUUUUUCAAAUAAGACGGACGGUCAAACAUUGGACACGGAAAUCAGAGUUUUUCUUUUU
Oryza glumipatula is the source of this 203-nucleotide non-coding RNA. The record is from Rfam. Lineage: Eukaryota; Viridiplantae; Streptophyta; Magnoliopsida; Poales; Poaceae.